RNAcentral lists this long non-coding RNA (249 nucleotides) under Olea europaea (common olive). RNAcentral's name for it is "long non-coding RNA (OEUR_LNC009536)". The record is from RNAcentral. Lineage: Eukaryota; Viridiplantae; Streptophyta; Magnoliopsida; Lamiales; Oleaceae.
CUUGUUAGCAUAUGAAGAAGCCCUAAUCGCAAAAUAUGAUGUCACUUCUACUGUAUUGUAUUUAGGGGCGAAUCCAUGGGUCAAGUUCAGCUAUGGCGGAUAGCGAGCGUUAAAAGCUUACUAUCUGGCCAAUGUUCAUGAUUGUGGAGUUGUUUAUUAAUAUUUAAUUAAAUAAUAUUCAAAAAAUCAUACGGAUUAGAACUAAAAGAACUAGAUACGCUACUAGAACUAGAAUUAGAAUAAGGUAGG